This 425-nucleotide ribosomal RNA is filed under the name uncultured bacterium. RNAcentral describes it as "bacterial SSU rRNA". It matches the Rfam family "Bacterial small subunit ribosomal RNA", at positions 356 to 773 of the family's 1533-position model. The record is from RNAcentral.
UAAGAAUAUUCCGCAAUGGACGAAAGUCUGACGGAGCGACGCCGCGUGGAUGAAGAAGGCCGAAAGGUUGUAAAAUCCUUUUGUCGGGGAAGGAUAAGCGUGGGAGGGAAUGCCCGCGUGAUGACAUGAACCGGCGAAUAAGCCCCGGCUAACUACGCGCCAGCAGCCGCGGUAACACGUAGGGGGCAAGCGUUGUUCGGAAUUACUGGGCGUAAAGGGCAUGUAGGCGGUUUUGUAAGCCUGGCGUGAAAUUCUGCAGCGUAACUGUAGGACUGCGCUGGGAACUGCGAGACUGGAGUCACGGAGAGGGAGCCAGAAUUCCAGGUGUAGGGGUGAAAUCUGUAGAUAUCUGGAAGAAUACCAAUGGCGAAGGCAGGCUUCUGGCCGAUGACUGACGCUGAGGUGCGAAAGCGUGGGUAGCAAAC